CCUACGGGAGGCAGCAGUAGGGAAUCUUCCACAAUGGGCGAAAGCCUGAUGGAGCAACGCCGCGUGGGUGAAGAAGGUCUUCGGAUCGUAAAACCCUGUUGUUAGAGAAGAAAGUGCGUUAGAGUAACUGUUCACGUUUCGACGGUAUCUAACCAGAAAGCCACGGCUAACUACGUGCCAGCAGCCGCGGUAAUACGUAGGUGGCAAGCGUUAUCCGGAUUUAUUGGGCGUAAAGGUAACGCAGGCGGUCUUUUAAGUCUGAUGUGAAAGCCUUCGGCUUAACCGGAGUAGUGCAUUGGAAACUGGGAGACUGGAGUGCAGAAGAGGAGAGUGGAACUCCAUGUGUAGCGGUGAAAUGCGUAGAUAUAUGGAAGAACACCAGUGGCGAAGGCGGCUCUCUGGUCUGUAACUGACGCUGAGGUUCGAAAGCGUGGGUAGCAAACAGGAUUAGAUACCCGAGUAGUC
RNAcentral lists this ribosomal RNA (465 nucleotides) under uncultured bacterium. RNAcentral's name for it is "partial 16S ribosomal RNA". It matches the Rfam family "Bacterial small subunit ribosomal RNA", at positions 338 to 795 of the family's 1533-position model. The record is from RNAcentral.